Molecule: long non-coding RNA, 324 nt
Organism: Micropterus dolomieu (smallmouth bass)
Lineage: Eukaryota; Metazoa; Chordata; Actinopteri; Centrarchiformes; Centrarchidae
Exons: 3
Source: RefSeq, a predicted model, not a curated record
UUUAUAUUGUUUGUUAUAUUUGCUCUUGCAGGAUCAAACAGAGUAUUGAGAGGCACUACAGCUGUCCAAGGUGUGUUUGCAGGUGUUUGCUGAGUUUCAUUGCUUUGCAAAUGUUGAACCUAUGCAACCAAUUCUACUGCGAGCUUGAGAGAUACACACCACUACUGAUUGCCCUGGACAGGCAGAAGGCCAAGACAGCUGAGGCCCUGCAGAGAUCCUCAGGAGUUAUGACCUUCAGGAGGAUGAUCAGUCGCCAUACGGUCUACUGACAGUUGCAGAGACACAGAAUCGUGGGUGAAAAGGUUCAAAACCCGAGCUGUUUUU